This is a long non-coding RNA of Oncorhynchus keta (chum salmon), 702 nucleotides long. RefSeq lists it as uncharacterized. The record is from RefSeq and is a predicted model, not a curated record. The transcript is spliced from 3 exons. NCBI's taxonomy places the organism in Eukaryota, Metazoa, Chordata, Actinopteri, Salmoniformes, Salmonidae.
UUGUUUAUGAACGAGGACCUUCUUGGACCUCAAGAAGAAUGAGGACCUUCCUAAUGUUUCACGCUUGGUCCCGACCCUUUCAACGAAUGUUUGUGAACUCAGUGCGGUUCGCUUAAUUGUCUGUGCAGUGUGAACACUCCAAAGGAACUCAGACCCAUCAAAGGCCCCAAAAGCGAAACGAACUGAGCGUUCGCUUGAAUUCCGCGAUCGGGGGCCUGUUGCACAAAAGUAGAAUUAAGACAUCCGGGAUAAAUGACUCAGCUGAGCUCAAUGAAGCCAAAACAUGUGCGUCCAGGCUUAAUUGGUUGCACAAAGACCAAGCCAGGAUGAGCAGACACGGAUUCAUUAAGCCAGGUGAAACCAAUCCUGGAUAGGUGCGCGCUCACGGCUCACUCAAAUAGACCCCGCCACAGAUCACAGAUUAACUGAUUUACCAUGGCAACUAGAGCCGCGUACUUUUCCCCGUCGGAAGCACAAAUCCUCAUGGAGGCAUACGAGGAGGUAAAAUAUAUAAUUAAGAAGAAAGGCAACACCGCCACAGUGAUAAAGCAAAGAGAAAAAGCGUGGCAAAGUAUUGCAGACCGCCUGAAUGCAUUAAACAUGAACGGGCCAAAACGGACAUGGCAGCAGGUCAAAAUCAAAUACAAGAACAUUCUGCAGAAUGCAGUGAAAAAGAAUACCCACAGACAAGGCACGGGUGGU